RNAcentral lists this unclassified non-coding RNA (201 nucleotides) under Hevea brasiliensis (rubber tree). Lineage: Eukaryota; Viridiplantae; Streptophyta; Magnoliopsida; Malpighiales; Euphorbiaceae. The record is from RNAcentral.
GACCGGUCAUGGAAAACGACCUGCGGCCCGGCAGGCUCAGCCAGCCAGUCGUCACCCCACUUUUUGAGCGCCAGAUACGUCGGGAAGAAAUCCCGACCUUUUUCCGUCAAUACAUACUCAUACCGGCCGGCAUGUUCAGGCAGAGGAACACGGGUCAUGAUCCCUGCAUCAACGAGUUUCUUCAGGCGGGUACUGAGAAUA